GACGAACGCUGGCGGCGUGCUUAACACAUGCAAGUCGAACGGAAAGGCCCCCUUGUGGGGUACUCGAGUGGCGAACGGGUGAGUAACACGUGAGUAACCUACCCUUGACUUUGGGAUAACUUCAGGAAACUGGGGCUAAUACCGGAUAGGAGCUCCUGCUGCAUGGUGGGGGUUGGAAAGUUUCGGCGGUUGGGGAUGGACUCGCGGCUUAUCAGCAUGUUGGUGGGGUAGUGGCUCACCAAGGCUUUGACGGGUAGCCGGCCUGAGAGGGUGACCGGCCACAUUGGGACUGAGAUACGGCCCAGACUCCUACGGGAGGCAGCAGUGGGGAAUAUUGCACAAUGGGCGGAAGCCUGAUGCAGCAACGCCGCGUGCGGGAUGACGGCCUUCGGGUUGUAAACCGCUUUCGCCUGUGACGAAGCGUGAGUGACGGUAAUGGGUAAAGAAGCACCGGCUAACUACGUG
This 465-nucleotide ribosomal RNA is filed under the name uncultured bacterium. Its description in RNAcentral is "partial 16S ribosomal RNA". It matches the Rfam family "Bacterial small subunit ribosomal RNA", at positions 28 to 507 of the family's 1533-position model. The record is from RNAcentral.